AUACAACAUGUCACAUCAGGGAAACUUCCUUUCAUGCACCGUUCGUUCGCUGUCUUGACCCUGGGUCAACAAGAACCUUCCUGGCUCAAUCACCUACGGCACCCACAAGAUUAAGUUUAAUCAGCUAGUUUUAGUUACUGGCGAUAAUACUAAGUACAGCAUUUGAACAGGUCAUCCAUGCAUCCAGGAUAAAAGAGUCGGUCUCCGGUCUUAUAUGUGAAUUCAGAUUCACCUGGAGGCUGGUGCCUACCAAUUACCAAUUUACCACUACACUGCUUCCAUUUCAUAAAAGAAACUCCAGUUGUAUAGAUAACAUAUGUGACAUUCCCUCAAAGGGGACAGGGAGGUUAAGCCAAAUGGAGCACGACGGGAUAAGUAUCUGAUCAUCAGGUCAUCUGGUAGGUGGCAAGAUGCUUUCGGGGGAGGCAAGUUGGCCCAAGCAAAUAUAAAUUAAUGAGAAGGGGGGAAUUUCACUGUUAUAGCCAUCAUAUCGACAUCUAAACGCGUGGCCCGGUUUCUCAAGGACCUGAACCUCCUUUUAGCUUUAUGCUAAAGCCGGGCAAAGGUGAUCUCUGUCCAGCAUUUAAACACGUGCCUGAUAUAAGAGCAGAUUUGCCUUUCCACCUAAACAUGGCGCUAAUUUUAGCGCACUAGUGAGGUGUGAUCAUGACCAAUUGGAAACUUUAUUUUGUUAAUAUGCUACAUAGAGGGAAACAAUUUACUGGAGAGUGGCAUGCUGCAUUAAAUAUAUAAUUUCCGCUACAGUUGUUCAGUGUGAUCGUAUCAGGCAUUUUGAAGAUCAAAAGUACAGUGUAAAAUUGAAUGCUCCAAUUGGUAGACCAGAAUUGCCAUGUCUAAGAAUAGGAACCAUAUCUCUUAAAAAACCUUGUAAUUUAUUUGAUAAAAAAUAUUAUAGGUUAGGUUCGCAAAACUGGCUAAAACAAACUGCCAACUGAGUCAUGGACUCACAUUUGGUUGCUGACCAAACAAGCUACCGCAUACCCCAAAACCACUUCUGACCAUGUCUACACCCUGAUUGGACAAAAAAUAAAUGCAAGUAGGGCCAAGGGCAAAUUAGUCCACAUCUGUUUCGCUAUUUAACCAUAGCCCAGUUAGAGAAGGAGAGCUGGAUCUAGGACAAACAGAAAAGGGAGUAAGAACCACAAAAGAGAUGGCAAGAGCCUUACCAUGGCUAACCUUUUCAGCCACCCUGCUGCUGCUAGCAAGCAUCAAGAGCAGCACAGCGUCCAGGAUGGCGAAGCCUGGAUGCCAAGAAACAUGCGGCAACCUCACCAUCCCAUACCCCUUCGGCAUCGGUCAAGGUUGCUUCUACGGUCAAGGGUUCGAUGUUUCAUGCGAGAACAAUCGUGUUUUCAUGCAUAAUUCAAGCAGCCGAAUGGAGAUCUACAACAUCAGUCUGGUAGGAGGGCAGGCUCGAGUCAGCACCUUGAUUGCAUCCAAGUGCUCCUACAAAAAUGGCACCGACACAGAUUGGGGGGUUUCAUCAAAUACUGCCGAUUUGUUUACAAUAUCCAGCAAGGCGAACAAGCUAACAGUGGUUGGAUGCAACACCCUUGCAUUCCUUGGAGGCUUUAAUGAGCACAGAGCCGGAGCUGGGUGUUUCUCAAUGUGCCCUGACAAGCAAGGAGUGGACGGUAGUGGGCAGUGCUCUGGCAUGGGCUGUUGCCAGACAUCCAUCGCACCAAACCUCAAUUCCUUAAACAUAGGAUUCGAUGACAGGUAUAACAAUUCUGAGGUGCGUGAUUUCAACCCCUGCAGCUAUGCUUUUGUCGCCGAGCAGGAUUGGUUCAGGUUUGAGGCUUCAUACCUUGAUGAUGACAAGUUCAGGGAUAAGUUCAAGGAUGAGGUCCCUGCUGUGCUUGACUGGGUUGUUGGACAUGAAUCCUGUGAUGAAGCGGUCAAGAACACGACAUCGUAUGCCUGCAUUAGCAAGAAUAGCCACUGCAUCAUGUCAGCAAAUGCUACAGGCUAUCUCUGCACCUGCAACAAUGGCUUCGCAGGCAACCCCUACCUGGAAGAAGGAUGCCAAGGUCGGUAACUCCCUGUAACUCACUUCCUUUGAGUUCACCUUGAGUUAUAUGUGCAUUGAGCUUCAGUUAUUUCUCUAUCCUUGCAUACUGCUUGCAGAUAUCAACGAGUGCCGCUUUCCAGAUCAGUAUCCUUGCCAUGGAAUCUGCAGCAACGCGAUUGGGGACUACAUUUGUUCAUGCAACUCUGGAACUAGCAGCAUAGAUCCAAAGAGAGAAACCUGCAAACAAAUCACAGUUUCAGAAAGAGCUAGAUUAACAAAAAUGUUUAUAGGUAAUCUUCAUAUGCUCAGGAUAUUUCAGUAAGUGUCUCUGUAGUGUGGAUAGGUCAAACUGAUAUAGCACAUAGAGGGAGGCAUCAGUGACAUUCAUUCCUAGAAAUCUAAACUUAGCUGCAUAUAUGAACAAAUAAGAAAGGACACUUUUUCACUCUUAUUUGCAAAAUAUACAUAUUAGGACAUUCAUCCUGCCUUGUCUUAAAAGUAUGCACUGUAAUCGCAAUAAAGAUAAGGUGCCGCGUGUCGCUGCCAGUUGCCGUGUAGUCUUGUGCAUAAUUUAAUAUACGCUCACGGUAAAUCCAAACAAAACCAAGUAGAUAAAUGAUGCCAGAAAUUCUUAUACCAUAGAAACAAAACAAAGUGACUUAUAUUCAUAUGCUAUUGGUUGCCCAUCAAGUUUAUUUGAAAAAAAAAUGUUGAUUUGUAAUCUGCCUAAUAAUGAUUAGAUACAAAUAAUAAUUUAGUUGUGAAGAAAUAAUUAGUCAUUUACAUGUGGGUUUUUUUACAGCCCAUCUCAAGAUUUUCAUAUAACUUGAAAUCCAAACAAAAUGAUUAGUCAUUGCAGGAUUUUUUUGCAAUUUUUGGAAGAACGAAAAUAUUUUUUUCGAAAAGGGAGCAAAUGCUUUGAGCACCAUUAGGCAUUAUCUAUAUAAGACUUCCAGUGACUGAAAGAAUGUUAUUCUUGGCAGGUAUUUCAUCAUGUGCUGUAAUUCUCCUUAUCUGCAUUUUUGCACUCCUGAUUGAAUGUCAGAAGAGAAAGCUGGUGAAAGAAAAGAAGAUAUUCUUCCAACAAAAUGGUGGCCUGCUAUUAUAUGAGCAAAUCAGGUCAAAGCAAGUUGAUACAGUAAGAAUAUUCACAAGGGAAGAACUAGAGAACGCAACAAACAAUUUUGAUUCAAGCAGAGAAUUAGGAAGGGGCGGCCAUGGAACUGUAUACAAGGGAAUUCUCAAAGAUGGCAGAGUGGUGGCCAUAAAGCGCUCAAAGGUUAUGAACAUGGACCAGAAAGAUGAAUUUGCGCAAGAGAUGGUUAUACUUUCACAGAUAAACCACAGGAAUGUGGUAAAGCUUCUAGGAUGUUGCUUAGAAGUGGAAGUUCCAAUGUUGGUCUAUGAAUGCAUCCCAAACGGCACCCUAUUCGAGCUGAUGCAUGGUAAAAACAGAAGACUUUCCAUCUCACUGGAUACACGUCUCAGGAUAGCUCAGGAAUCUGCAGAAGCAUUAGCAUAUCUGCACUCAUCAGCAUCCCCUCCCAUAGUUCAUGGAGAUGUAAAAUCUCCAAACAUUCUCCUAGGCGACAACUACACAGCAAAAGUGACUGAUUUUGGAGCAUCAAGAAUGCUUCCUACGGAUGAAAUACAAUUUAUGACAAUGGUACAGGGAACUAUAGGUUAUCUUGACCCUGAAUACUUGCAAGAGCGUCAACUAACAGAGAAGAGUGAUGUUUAUAGUUUUGGAGUUGUGCUCCUAGAGCUCAUUACAAUGAAGUUCGCAAUUUAUUCUGACAGUACUGGAGAAAAGAAAAACCUUGCAUCAUCCUUCCUUCUAGCAAUGAAAGAAAAUGGACUUCAAUUCAUCUUGGACAAGAAUAUAUUAGACUUCGAAGCGGAGCUGCUCCAAGAAAUUGCUCAACUGGCAAAGUGUUGCUUGAGUAUGAGGGGGGAAGAACGGCCAUUAAUGAGAGAUGUCGCUGAGAGGUUGAGAUCAAUAAGAAGCACCUGGAGAGAACAAUUGAUUCAGAAUCCUAGCAGGGAAACUGAAUGUUUGCUUGAGAACUCGUCACACUAUGACCCUUCUAGCACUGGACAGCAUGGAAGUCUGAUGGCGCUAGAUCUGGAAAGUGGUAGAUGAUAAUAAAUUGCUUAUGAAAUCACAGAUUGUAGCAGAGAUUGAAUUUACUAUUUCGUGCCAUAAAUGUCAUGCAAAAAUGUGUCAUUUUGUUUUUAAUUGUAACAAACCUCCUUGCAUGAAUAGCAAACUUCUAUGUACCAUGAUUUCAAAUAAAUCCAGUAUGUUAACAACAAAGAGUUGCUAAAUUGUGUAACCUUUUUUUUACCAUCACCUUCCUAGCAUGUGCUUGUAUCCACUGAAUAUAGUUCCUUCUGUAUAGCCUCUGAUAUGCAACUCCUGUAUAUAUCUUGUAUACCUUUUACUCUAUUUGACAAUAUAUUACUGUCAGAGCCUCCCCUACAGUUUUCCAGUAAAAAAAAAUAGAUGCUAUAGCGUUGCCUAUUUUACACAAUGGAAGUUGUUGAUCAUACAUUACAGGUAUUUUAGAAGUGAAUGCAAAUCCAACCCCAAAGCAGUGAAGGGUGCAAAAACUUGCCAGCACUUAAAACUAGGAUUGAAUUGAAACUAGAGUAAUUAUCAGUAACAAAUUUUCGUAUGAGAUUCAUUGCACCGACAGUGGAUAGUACUUACCAAUAAGCAGGAAAAAGUAGGGGGAAACUACGUUGAUAAAUUCAAACUCGAGCCUGUGCGCAUUUAUUAAGCAGAAACUUGCCCGCUUCCACUAUCUCACAUACCAGUUGCAAACAUAGAGGCAUUAAAUCUUUUUUUAAUUUGUACCAAGAAGGGAAAAGAUAUUUUCGUUUUGGAUUUUUCCUAUGUCUCAAGUAAUUAGCAAGAACUUACCCGCUUCCACUAUUACACUAUCCUCCAUCAACAAAGAUACUACAAUAUACAGAUGACCUCAAGAACACCUCUAACUUAGAAAAAUUUACACCUCAGGCUAAGGUAUAUGUAUGGUACACAUGAAAGCCAGAAUUUCUUGAUAUUACAGCACAGAAUUUGUCACAGAUUGGUACAAGUUUAUGGACCUGAUGAGAUACAGCACAUAAAUUGUGCUGUGUUUUUGCUAAUUCCUUAAAAAAGGUCUUUCAGCACUGAGUACGCCCUCUAAAAAUACAGGUAUUUCCUUUUCCCUUUUUUUUACUUAUAUAAACUAACUCAAUAGCGACUUGUCAGAGACAUUCUUAGCUGAGCUGGUAAGUUCCCCUGUUACAAACUAGUCCACACCACAAUGCAUAGCACAGAAGAACACAAGUUUGGUCGAGCGUAAUUCAGGGACGAACCUGUGGUGCAAAUCUGCUCUCGCGGCGGAGUCGAUCAAGACAGCAGAACUAGUCCAAGGUAUUCACAGAGCAAGCUUACCCCCUUUACCAGUCUCAUUCAAUGCCAUGACACGAACGAGUUCACCUUCACUUUCAUCGAGCAGGAUGUGCAUAUCUCCUUGUCCCUUUUGAAAGAUUCUCUUUAAUGACUUGACCUGGCCAUGGAUUCAAAGUCGCCCUGAUCACAUCAAGGAACCUUCGUUUAACUUGAUGUGCUGCGGUCUUGAGUGACCCUGGGUCACUUCCCGGCUCAAUCACCUGUGGCAAGGCAACAUAAGGUUAAGUUUUAAAUCAGCUGCUGCUAGUUACUGGUGACAAUGCUUUACAGUGUUUGAAGGUAAAUACGCCAACGAGACAUUUAAUAUAUUGCAGCCAGGAUAGAAGAGUCUCCCCAGUUAUAUGUGUGUCCAAGGUCGCCUGGGACCUACCAAUUGCCACUAUAAUCUGCACCGGCUACUUCCGUUUCAUAGAAGGCUAGGUGUGGAUGUGACAUUUCAUCAAAGAAGCAUGGUGAGAUUAAGCCAAAUGGAGUACGUUGACGCAGCAAAAAUCUGAUGGCCCGGUCUUCUAUGGUAGGUGGGGAGUUGCUUUCAGAAAAGGCCAAUCCGCCAAGCAAGGGAUAUAGAAGGGGGAAAUUGCACUGCUAUAACCACCAUAUCGGUCAAUAUGUAAACGAUGCCCCAGUUUCACCUGAACCUUCUUUUGGCUUUCUAUUAAAGCUGGGCAAGGCGCUUUGUGUCUAGCAUCUAAACGCGUGCCUCAUAUAAGAGACAUACUUGCUUUUCUGCCUUAAUAUUAAACUAAUUUCAGCACUCUGGCAAGCUGUGAUCAUGACCAGUUUGAAACUUUAUUUUGUUCAAAAGUAGUGUAAAAGUCAAUACUCCAAGUUGUAGACAACGAGCAUGAUUGGUUUGCUGCCAAUAUUUGGCUAGCCAAAUAUUGGCAAUACCAGGACUUGCCAACUAUUGGCAAUUUUAUGUGAGAUAGGCAAGACAACUCGGUAACCAACCAAGCAGUACCCAAUAUUUGGCAGAAUGCCAAACAUUGGCAUGCCAAUUUUUGGCACCAAACCAAUUAUGCUCAACAAUUUCCAUGCAUAAGAAUAGGAACCAUCCACCAAAAAAACUUAGAAUAAUUUGAUAAAGAAAUACAAAAGGUGGGUUCGUAAAAGUGGCCUGCCUCCCUCCCUCCCUCUCUCAAAAGAUAAAAGAAACUGCCAAUUAAUUAGCGGUCUCAUGUUUGGAUUGCAGAGCAGACAAGCAAGCUAUUUUUAUGACUGAAAGAAGGCUAGUUCAAACCCCAAACCACUUCUGACCUAGUCUACACUCUGAUAGGGGAAAAAACAUGAAAGAUCAAUUAGUCCACAUCCAUUUCGUUAUAUAAGCAUAGCCAAGUUAGAGAAAGGGAGCUGAAUCAUAGGACAGGCAGAAAAGGAGGCAGAAAUACACAAAGAGAUGGCAGCAGCCCUACCAUGCCUAAUCUUUGCAGCCACCCUGAUGCUAGCAAGCAUCAAGAGCAGCACAGCGUCCAGGAUGGCAAAGCCUGGGUGCCAAGAAACAUGUGGCAACCUCACCAUCCCAUACCCCUUCGGCAU
RNAcentral lists this long non-coding RNA (7031 nucleotides) under Triticum aestivum (bread wheat). RNAcentral's name for it is "long non-coding RNA (TAES_LNC018801)". Lineage: Eukaryota; Viridiplantae; Streptophyta; Magnoliopsida; Poales; Poaceae. The record is from RNAcentral.